RNAcentral lists this ribosomal RNA (450 nucleotides) under uncultured bacterium. RNAcentral describes it as "partial 16S ribosomal RNA". It matches the Rfam family "Bacterial small subunit ribosomal RNA", at positions 354 to 796 of the family's 1533-position model. The record is from RNAcentral.
GUGGGGAAUAUUGGACAAUGGGCGAAAGCCUGAUCCAGCCAUGCCGCGUGUGUGAAGAAGGUCUUCGGAUUGUAAAGCACUUUAAGUUGGGAGGAAGGGCAGUAAGUUAAUACCUUGCUGUUUUGACGUUACCGACAGAAUAAGCACCGGCUAACUUCGUGCCAGCAGCCGCGGUAAUACGAAGGGUGCAAGCGUUAAUCGGAAUUACUGGGCGUAAAGCGCGCGUAGGUGGUUUUGUAAGUUGGAGGUGAAAUCCCCGGGAUCAACCUGGGAACUGCCUCCAAAACUGCAUGGCUAGAGUACGGUAGAGGGUAGUGGAAUUUCCUGUGUAGCGGUGAAAUGCGUAGAUAUAGGAAGGAACACCAGUGGCGAAGGCGACUACCUGGACUGAUACUGACACUGAGGUGCGAAAGCGUGGGGAGCAAACAGGAUUAGAUACCCUUGUAGUCC